RNAcentral lists this ribosomal RNA (157 nucleotides) under Rhizopus arrhizus. RNAcentral's name for it is "Rhizopus oryzae partial small subunit ribosomal RNA". The stretch from base 28 to 157 matches the Rfam family "Eukaryotic small subunit ribosomal RNA", at positions 799 to 928 of the family's 1831-position model. Lineage: Eukaryota; Fungi; Mucoromycota; Mucoromycetes; Mucorales; Rhizopodaceae. The record is from RNAcentral.
UUCUAGUUAGUUCCUUGUGCUUAGCUGAUGUGUUAGCAUGGAAUAAUGAAAUAUGACUUUAGUCCUAUUUUCGUUGGUUUAGGUACUUCAGUAAUGAUGAAUAGAAACGGUUAGGGGCAUUUGUAUUUGGUCGCUAGAGGUGAAAUUCUUGGAUUGA